RNAcentral lists this long non-coding RNA (8022 nucleotides) under Malus domestica (apple). Its description in RNAcentral is "long non-coding RNA (MDOM_LNC013089)". Lineage: Eukaryota; Viridiplantae; Streptophyta; Magnoliopsida; Rosales; Rosaceae. The record is from RNAcentral.
GUACUUAACCACAAGACAACGACGAUGCCUCAGGUCUAAGGAUUACUUACAUCUUUCCAACCAUUAGAGUUACUUGCUUGACAUGUGAGUAGACCUCCAUGCAAGUACUCUCGUUCGAUUGUGUUCAGUGAACUCAUUCCCCUUAAUGAGCACCUACAUACUUGUCUUAGUGUCACAACACGAAUGGGAUGAGACUUUCCAUCCUUCCAAUUGAAGCAGACAUAGUAUGUACCGGUCUACGCAUUGUCAGUAUCCCUCCGACAAUCCAAUGACCAGGAACCUUUUGGACAUAAUGGUUAUGUGAAGAAGGUCUCUGUAGUCUAACAUCAUUAGAUUACUUCUUCAAUCGAUCCAUUGUCCAUGGAUACACUAUUUAGGACAUAUAUCGUUUAUUGAGAUAGUCCUAAUUAGUAUCUUUGCCAUUUGAUGUAUAAGAAUCAUCCAUACAUCGAUUCAUUUGUCCUGAAAGAUUUCUUCCAAAGAUUGACUUUCAGGGCAUAUUUCCAACAAUCUCCCACUUGCACUAAAGUCAAUCACUAGUGUAUCUUAUACAUCUUGUCGAGAGAGUUUAUGCUCGUAGGUUAACUUGGUUAUGUAUUAAUCUCUUUUAUAUUUAAAAGGGAUUUACUUAUCAAAUGUUUCCAAGAACAUUUGAUGAUGUCUCUUUAAUGUGUUCGAAUACUUUGAUGAGACCUUGAUUCCAUGGCUUGAGCUAUCGCCCCAUUACGUCGUAGUACUCUACUAACGACCUUAUGGUUUGGAUUCAAUCAUGGGUUCUAAAAGAACCCCUUUCAUUCAAAACACCUUUUGAAGCAGUUUCUAAAACUUAUAUAUCUACAUAUAUUUCGUUUGUAUACUUUAUACAAACUUUGCUCCAAGCUUGAGACCAUUGUAGUACAAUACUAACAAUUCAUUCAUAUGAUUAGUACUUCAUCCAUUAUGAAGUUCCAUUUGUUAAAAUGGCUUAUUUUCACUUUGGUUAACAACCUAAGUGAAUGCACGCUUCCAGAGUCCCACUCUGAUGUUUCUUUCUUAAAGGCAAUAAUACUCUAUCAGUUGCUUUGGUUCUGAUCCUGGGAUAUAGUAAUAUCUUAAAGUGACAAACUCAGUGGUUUCUUCACCUUUGGAUAUCUACUUCACAAGUCAAUACAUGUGUCCCUUUUGUGAUUUUAUGACACAUUCAUUAUAAGGGUUAUGAAAGUGAUUUCCUAUCACAUAGGAAAAUGCUUUCUUAAAUCUUCAACAUUUGAGAUUUAAUUCCCAUAUAACAUUAUUGAGAUAGCCUUGCUAUAUCAGUAAGUCCAAUUUCAAGUCUAUACUUCAAAAUUGACCGUGUCAUGUUUUGUCAUUUUCGAGUAACAUCUAUGUUUCAUCAAGUCUAUCAAAUAGACUUUAUUCACAUCUUGUUGCUCAAAUUAUGACAUCACUCCCACUGGCCUUGUUGUAACUUAGCAUUCAUUCAAAAUUAACAAUUAUAUUUUCUUGAUUUGAAUGCAUAUUGCUCCCACUAAUUUAAAUGAAUCAUACAUAAAAGAAUUCCUUCUCAAGUAAUUCCAUUUGAAAUGUGUGACUUGCUUUAUCAAGUCUAUUCAUUUAAAUUAUAUGGUGUCAUACACCAUACUUUAAGUUUUAGUCAUACUAAGACCUUUAAUGUAGUCAUAUAAGAAUUAUCUAAGUCUUUAGUGGAAGCAUGGCUCCUACUAAGGAUAUAGAAACUCAACCAUUCCUUCUAGGUGGUUGAUAUAAUUCUUUAUCAAAACUACAUAGAGCAAUAUCGUUACAUGAGAUGUUGAAUUUGGAUUGUCUUGUUGUUAAACCAUAUGUUGUGACUCAUUUUGAAACUUAUUCCCUUUUGUUUCAUCAACUUGUCCAUAUGCUUUGUUAUUUAGCAUUGUUCUCAUAAAAAGAGAAUGAUGGACAACUCCCAACAUAUAACCAUUUUAUGCUAGGUUGACGAAACCAACAUUCAAAGACUAUUCUUUAAAUGUUACACAACAUAGAAUUUUAACGUUUGAAGAGCUUGAGUCCUUUUAACAAUUAAAAUUACAAACUCUUAAUAAUAGUCAAGUACUAUUAUUCUUUAGACAACUAUAAACCAAUCACAUUCAAGUUUAUAUCCAUUUUCACACCUCCCACUAUUUCUCAUGACUUUAAUGAGAAAUCAUUUCAUACAUUCAAAAUGUAUAAAAGUGGAUUAUAUUGGUAGAAGACAUUGUGUAGUAGCUUUGAAACAUUUCAAGCUUAUUUGUUUCAAUCUUCACUAAGUUUAAUGUCUUGUUAUUUAAGUGACUAAAGUCUUUAAAACCUUUUAUAGAUUUAGACACUUCUUUCUUGGUUUAAUCACUAACACAAUUGACAUUUUAAAACAAUUUUAAGAAUGCCCAAUUAAUUGUUCAAAACUACUAAUUGAAUCAAGAGUGAUCUUGAUCAUUGUGUUUCAAGUGAUAACCAUAUAAGAAACGUUUUUCUUAUUACUUAUAUCAUUAUAAUGUGAUCUUCCUUUUCUUCAAGAAAGGAUUUCUCUAGACUUUUGUCAAUUCAUAUAGAACUCAUAAGUAGACAAAUGGAACCAAAUCUAAAGAUUCAUUGUAUCCUUUUAUGUCCUACAUGUGAGAUCUAUCCAUAAUUGAUAAAUCUAAAGUUUGGUUUAUCACAUUACAAUUAAGUGAUAUAACUCUUGUAUCUCAUCUAGGAUACAACAAGACAAUUUUCAAUUCAUAACACUACUUUAAGGAAAUAGUAUAUUAAAAAAGGCAUACUUCACAUUACAUUAAUAUGAUAGUUCAAACAUUCAUAAUGUUUAAUACAAAAAGUAUUAGCUCUAUACAUUUAGAGACUAAUAUAAAUACCUUUAUACAUUUAGGCACUAAUAGUGGUCUUCCAUCAUAUGAAGCCACAUAAUAAGUUCUUAACAAAAUAAGAAAGUUUAAAGACAAUCUUUAAUGCCUAACAAACUUCCUAAGUAGUGAAGCAAAAAAACAUAGUGGCCGAACCCUUCACCCACAUUUUCCUUGCUUGUUCUUCUUCUACUUGGCUUCUCCACCUAUAUACAAUUAUACAAGUGAUUAGCUCUUUAUAUCAAAUAUAAAUAUUUAGAAGAUCUAACAUUUAGAAUUGAAGAUAAGGAACAUAAACCAUACCUUGUGGCUUGUCCUUAAGACUUGCAAGGUAUAACCUGCAAUUCCUCCUCCAAUGCCCCUCCUUUCCACAGUGGUGGCAAGUCCCUUUGGGCUCCUUUGCCUUCUUUUUCCUCACUCCUCCUUUCGGCUUAGGAGUGGGUGACUUCUUCUCCUUCCCUUUGCCUUUGCCUUGCGGCAUUGGCCUUGGAAGAGGAUGGCUUGUUGUAGGCUACUGCAGCAGUCCCUACAACGUUCUCUUUCUUCAUAGUCUUCUCAGGCAGUUACUAACAUGUUUAGUAACUCAGAGAGAGUACUAUCCAUCUUAUUCAUAUUGUAGUUCAUUACGAACUGCGAGCAAAUGAAUCAGAAAGAGAAGCCAAUACGAAGUCCUGGGCCAAUUCCCCGUCAAGUGGAGUACCAAGGUUCUCCAAUUGUUCAAUGAAUCCUAUCAUCUUCAGUACAUGUUGGUGUACUGGAGCCCCCUUGACCAUCUUGGUCUUUACAAGUUCACAAACAGUGCUAAAGCGACGGUUGCGCGUCCCUUCACCAUAUAACUCCGUAAGAUGGAGUAUUAUGGAAAAUGCACUGUCCAUGCCCUCGUGCUGUCUCUGUAGCUCCUCAUUCAUGGAAGCCAACAGAUAGCACUUGGCUUGUGUAUCAUCCUCAACGUGCUUGUCAUACUUAGCACGUUCAUCCUCAGUAGCCUCAGGGCCGAGAGGUAUGUGAGGUGGAGCCUUGUCUAGUACGUAAACAAUCUUCUCCAAUGUUAGGAGAAUCUUGACAUUACGAUACCAUGAUGGGAAAUUGUGCCCCUCUAGGCAAUGUUUGUCGAGUAUUUUCGCGAGUGUGCUUCCAACCAUAUCUAUAUACAUAAACAAAUAAAAUAAUUAGAUUGAUUGUUGUUUAAGUCAAACGAUUCGGGUCUUUAAACCGAAUGACACCACCCACCAUUUUUGGCAAAUUCCAUAUCCCCCAUAAUGGAAUCCGGGAGAUUUCAAAGAAAGCUCCUAGCGGGUUAUGGGAGGCUCACUAUUACCAAGCCCACCUCACGAUGAUACGAUGUUUGGCUAGCAACAAUAAUAAUGAGAGGGUACAAUUACCCAUUCACAACAACCUCUUGUGAUUACCCAUCUUUUUGGCCUCUAGAAAAUAAUACCUCACGAUGAUACGAUGUUGGCAUUAUGUUUCUUAGUUAAGUUCUUUCCCACCAUGCCGGUUUAGCUAGGGGUUCAAGCAUGACCUCACGAUGAUACGAUGUUGGCCAUACUCGUUGCCUACCUUAACCUCAUCAAAUGUUUUAAAUAAACUCCUCCUGAAUAUAAGCAUGCACUUUGUCACUUCCCCAUGAUAGGGUGAAGGCGGUGUACAAGUCAUAAACGCUUGGAGCCUACCACGGUGGAAGGCCACGAAAAAGUGUUCUAAGCACUCUUACGCUUUCAACUUAAUAUUUGUUUGGUUGAGGGAUUUUAAGGUCUCAUCAAUUUUAUUUAUUUAAUCACAAUCAAAUAAAUAAUGUCCUAUUACAACUACUAGUCCAAAGUUAAUGAAAUUAGUAGCAUAUAAUAUCCCCACUAUUCGUUUUCAUAAAACAAAUCAAUAUCAAAACAUUUUUCAAAAUAUUGGAGAUAUAUAUAACUACUAAUUGUAUUCAUUAUAGUUUAGUAGCGUAUGAUACUCCCACUAUUUGUUUUGAGAAAAACAAAUCAAUAUCAAAAACGAAUUUUUCAAAUAUUGGAAGUAACUACUACUACUAAGGUUUUUGCAUUCCUUUGAAAUUGGACUUUAUAGUUAUCUUAGGCUCUUGGAUGACCAUGGACUUAUUAGGUUAUUGCAACAACGAGCCAUCAUUGUUGAAUAUAAACUCGGGGAGGUUGUGUCAAUUUAAUUACGUGCUUAUCAAUCCAAUUAAAACCAUUUUCAUUGAGCCAUUAGAAAUGAAAGACAAUCAUUCAUUGCUAAUUUGGGCAUUGGACCCUUUUAAUCUUUAAUCUCAUGUCAAAACCCUCUUUUAGUUAUGUCUCCUUUACCAAUAGUUAAAGAAACUCUAGUCUAGCACUAGAGGGAAUCCACUAACGAAUAGAGAUUAAGAAGUAAUAAGAAUUACAAACCGAUUUGUACAAAUUCCUAUAAAUUACAUAUACUAAAAGGGGAGAGAAAGAUUAACGUCAAACGUGACAAGGUCCAAUUAAACAGUAAUUAAAACACAUUCCCAAGGUUCAAACAAUUUGAUUUUAGCGCCUUAUCAUAUAGCUCAAUUAUCGUUUAAGGCAUAAGUCCAAAGUCAUCCAUUUCAUAACUACUUAAACACAUUUAAAUAAUCAUAAAGGAAUGCAACAUAAACAUUUAGAUUUAGUGCAUAUGGGCAUAAUAGUAUUAUGAGUUUAAACAACUAACAAAAUUAAAAUCAAAUAUUUUAACUUUCUAGUUAGUAGGGGCCUAAAUGUAAAUAUGAAAAGUUAGGGGUAAAACCGUAAAUAUUUCAAAAGUAAAAUAUCAACUUUUUCAAAGAUUACAAAAUAGCCCCACAAGUGGAUAAAUCCACUAGGGAGGCCGGCCACUUUAAUGGGGGAAUGGGAAGUCUCACCCACAUGCAUAAAUUCAAUGCAAAGUAGAAAAAAUCAAAAUUUUGCUUGUCACUUGGUUUUGGCAUUUAAAACUUAGGUGAAAAGGUUUGAUGGAAAUCUCCUAGUCAAGUCUAGGGUUUUAUAAGUAUUAUGAUAUGGUUAUGGAUGGUAAGAACAUCAUCCCAAAACCACAAAACAAUGCAUUAAAACCAUUUUCACCAAAAACCAAACUAUGAACACCAAGAACAAAACCAUGAACACUUUUUCAAGAUUUGUGUAUUCUUGGUGAUUUUUCAAACCCAAAAACAAAAGUGACAAGGUUUCUUCUUUCUAGCUUUAAAAGGAUGUGAGAGUGGUUUACAAUAAAACACAAACACAACCCCAAAACCACCCCCAAAACCGUGCCAUCCCUUUGGUUCAAAACCCCAAAUUUUGUUCAUGACUUAUUCUUCAUUCAUGCAUCUAAAACACCCUUUUACAUGCAUAUCUUUUUCAACUCUUGAUUUAUAUUUUUCAACCAUUGAAAAAACAAAAGAUAAACAUACUUUAAAUGAAGAAAUAAUAUGUCAAACUAGUUCUAAACUCAUUUUUCAUUCAUGCAUACAAAACAUCUUUUGCAUCCAUACCUUUCUCAACUAUUGACUAACAUUUUUCAACUAUUGAAAAACAAAAGAUAAACAUACUUUGAAUGAAACAAUAAUAUGUCAUACAUAACAUUAAUACCCAUAUGCAUAAAAUCCAAAAGGACACAUUAUACAUAAACCUUUGGCUCUGAUACCACUUGAAGGGAAAACUAUGAGAUUCAUGUAUGGGAUUUCUAAAUGACUAUCAUGCAUAUACAAAACAAUUUUUAUAUACGAAAGCAGAGGGAAGCAUUUAUAACAUAUUAUCAAAGCUAUAGUCAUGCAAAUCCCUUCAAGGUUCAUAGGUUUAUAUAUAAUGCAUCAAAACAAAUUAUAGAAUCAAGAACAAAGUGAAGGUUAGUCUUAUACCUCUUGAUCUAGACUUGAGACCAAGGAUGGACCACCUCCAAACCCUUUGCUCCUUGAAAUCCUUGAGCCUAGCUUCCCUCCUUGCCUCCUCUACUUUGAAAAAAUGAGUGCUCCUAGGUUCUCUUCAAGUUUCCAAAGUAGGAAACCUCUAAAGAUCCUCACCCACUAGUGUAGUGAGAAGGAUGAAGGAAUAACCAAAAGGGUGAAAGAUUGUUAGCUAAAAACACCCCAAUGGUGGCCGGCCCUUUGAUGUGUUUAGAGAGCUUUUUCUUUUGCCACUUUGUUGUUUAAACACUUCAAAAACCCCUAUGAACUUUAUCACUAUAAAGUUCCUUAUAUAGACAAAAGAAAACCUAGUCAACAAUGCUUGAAUAAAAGCCCAAUGGGUUUAGGCCCAAUGGGCCCAAUUAAACCCGAACGUUUCUUUAAGCCCAAAACGAUCUUUAUCGCUUUUAUGAUUUCUUUAGACUUUUCUAAAUUAAUCACAACACAUAAUUAAUCCAAUUAAUUGUUUCCAUCAUCCAUUAGUUACUCACCACAAUAGUGUUUUGGUGAACAAUCUUUUAGGUUCUAAUUAGCAAGGCAGUGAGGUGAUUGGCAUCAAUCCAAUUGCUUAUAUUUAAUUCAAUCACCUAGUGAAUUAAAACUUCAUUUUAAUUCACCUUUCUUCUUUGACGACUACAUUUAAUCAUCUAGAAGAACUCACAAGCUAUGAGUGACAUCUAACCAUAUGUCAUAGCUAUCCAAGCUAAUGUAGAAGUUUAUUCGAAGAACCUAGUCAGUUGGAAUUACAAUGUAAUUCAAUCCUUCUCUAAUACAAUACUCUCAAUCACAUCAUUAGGGUAUGGAUAUAUAUCAUGUCAAACCCCUAAUGUGAUUAUUCCUUCAUAUAUGAUUCAUUUGAGUCGUAUAGGAACGCUUUCCAUUCAAUACGCUCGAUACUUCGGCCGAAGAUUCCCGAAUCAUAUCUUAGAGUAUUCUUCCUCUCUUAUCGAGGAUUAGAGAUUCCUUGUUGCGCAUACACUUGCCUUCAUGACUAAGUGGUUUAACCCCAAUUAUGCCGUGGACACCCUCGAAUGGGGAGACUUUGACAUAAUCAAAGAUUAAGUACUUAACCACAAGACAAUGACGAUGCCUCAGGUUUAAGGAUUACUUACAUCUUUCCAACCAUUAGAGUUACUUGUUUGACAUGUGAGUAGACCUCCAUGCAAGUACUCUCGUUCGAUUGUGUUCAGUGAACUCAUUCCCCUAAUGAGCACCUACAUACUUGACUUAGUGUCACAACACGAAUGGGAUGAAACUUUCCAUCCUUCCAAUUGAAGCAGACAUAGUAUGUACCGGUCUACG